This 474-nucleotide ribosomal RNA is filed under the name uncultured bacterium. RNAcentral describes it as "bacterial SSU rRNA". It matches the Rfam family "Bacterial small subunit ribosomal RNA", at positions 28 to 497 of the family's 1533-position model. The record is from RNAcentral.
GAUGAACGCUAGCGGCAGGCUUAACACAUGCAAGUCGAGGGGCAGCAUACCCGGUGACGGGUGAUGGCGACCGGCGGAAGGGUGAGUAACGCGUGAGCAACAUACCCGUAUCAGUGGGAUAAUACAGGGAAACUUGUUCUAAUAUCACAUAAUAUUAUUCAGAGGCAUCUUUGGAUAAUUAAAGUUCAGGCGGAUACGGAAUGGCUCGCGUGACAUUAGCUAGAUGGUAGGGUAAAGGCCUACCAUGGCUAUGAUGUCUAGGGGUUCUGAGAGGAAGACCCCCCACACUGGGACUGAGACACGGCCCAGACUCCUACGGGAGGCAGCAGUGAGGAAUAUUGGACAAUGGAUGGAAAUCUGAUCCAGCCAUGCCGCGUGCAGGAAGACGGCCCUAUGGGUUGUAAACUGCUUUUAUAUGGGAGCAAUAAGGUCUACGAGUAGACCGAUGAGAGUACCAUAUGAAUAAGCAUCGGA